UCUAAUAUGGCAGAAUAAUGCAAUGAAUUUAAAUUUCAUAAAUAAAAGAAUAACUUUUUUUUAGAA
RNAcentral lists this transfer RNA (66 nucleotides) under Scydmaeninae sp. 840218. RNAcentral's name for it is "tRNA-Leu". It matches the Rfam family "tRNA". From Rfam's summary of the family: Transfer RNA (tRNA) molecules are approximately 80 nucleotides in length. The record is from RNAcentral. Lineage: Eukaryota; Metazoa; Arthropoda; Insecta; Coleoptera; Staphylinidae.